RNAcentral lists this ribosomal RNA (468 nucleotides) under uncultured bacterium. RNAcentral's name for it is "partial 16S ribosomal RNA". It matches the Rfam family "Bacterial small subunit ribosomal RNA", at positions 28 to 507 of the family's 1533-position model. The record is from RNAcentral.
GACGAACGCUGGCGGCGUGCUUAACACAUGCAAGUCGAACGGACAGGCCCUGCUUUUGUGGGGUGCUCGAGUGGCGAACGGGUGAGUAACACGUGAGUAACCUGCCCUUGACUUUGGGAUAACUUCAGGAAACUGGGGCUAAUACCGGAUAGGAGCUCCUGCUGCAUGGUGGGGGUUGGAAAGUUUCGGCGGUUGGGGAUGGACUCGCGGCUUAUCAGCUUGUUGGUGGGGUAGUGGCUUACCAAGGCUUUGACGGGUAGCAGGCCUGAGCGGGUGACCGGCCACACUGGGACUGAGAGACGGCCCAGACUCCUACGGGAGGCAGCAGUGGGGAAUAUUGCACAAUGGGCGGAAGCCUGAUGCAGCAACGCCGCGUGCGGGAUGACGGCCUACGGGUUAUAAACCAAUUUCGCCUGUGACGAAGCGUGAGUGACGGUAAUGGGUAAAGAAGCACCGGCUAACUACGUG